GUGAAUCAUCAAAUCUUUGAACGCAAAUUGCACUUUCUGGUAUUCUGGACAGUAUGCCUGUUUGAGGGUAAGUUAACUAAAAAUCGGUGAUGUUGCUGUUCUUCGUGGUGAAGAGAUGGCAUUGGGUUGUUUUAGGUUCGGUCAAGUGACUUAAAAUUUUUGGAUGUUUUUUGAACGUUUUUAUAUAUAUUACGUACGUUUGAGAUAUCGAAUGUCUAUUAGCUUUGCUCAUUCGCAUGUUUAGCGUCUCUAAUUUUC
This 258-nucleotide unclassified non-coding RNA is filed under the name Glomus sp. RNAcentral describes it as "partial contains 5.8S ribosomal RNA and internal transcribed spacer 2". The stretch from base 1 to 71 matches the Rfam family "5.8S ribosomal RNA", at positions 84 to 154 of the family's 154-position model. Lineage: Eukaryota; Fungi; Glomeromycota; Glomeromycetes; Glomerales; Glomeraceae. The record is from RNAcentral.